UGGGGAAUAUUGCGCAAUGGGGGGAACCCUGACGCAGCCAUGCCGCGUGAAUGAAGAAGGCCUUAGGGUUGUAAAGUUCUUUCGGUAUUGAGGAAGGUUGAUGUGUUAAUAGCACAUCAAAUUGACGUUAAAUACAGAAGAAGCACCGGCUAACUCCGUGCCAGCAGCCGCGGUAAUACGGAGGGUGCGAGCGUUAAUCGGAAUAACUGGGCGUAAAGGGCACGCAGGCGGUUAUUUAAGUGAGGUGUGAAAGCCCUGGGCUUAACCUAGGAAUUGCAUUUCAGACUGGGUAACUAGAGUACUUUAGGGAGGGGUAAAAUUCCACGUGUAGCGGUGAAAUGCGUAGAGAUGUGGAGGAAUACCGAAGGCGAAGGCAGCCCCUUGGGAAUGUACUGACGCUCAUGUGCGAAAGCGUGGGGAGCAAACAGGAUUAGAUACCCUGGUAGUCCACGCUGUAAACGCUGUCGAUUUGGGGGUUGGGGUUUAACUCUGGCGCCCGUAGCUAACGUGAUAAAUCGACCGCCUGGGGAGUACGGCCGCAAGGUUA
This 547-nucleotide ribosomal RNA is filed under the name uncultured bacterium. Its description in RNAcentral is "bacterial SSU rRNA". It matches the Rfam family "Bacterial small subunit ribosomal RNA", at positions 355 to 896 of the family's 1533-position model. The record is from RNAcentral.